RNAcentral lists this ribosomal RNA (398 nucleotides) under uncultured bacterium. Its description in RNAcentral is "bacterial SSU rRNA". It matches the Rfam family "Bacterial small subunit ribosomal RNA", at positions 521 to 916 of the family's 1533-position model. The record is from RNAcentral.
UAAUACGUAGGGUGCGAGCGUUGUCCGGAAUUACUGGGCGUAAAGAGCUCGUAGGCGGUUUGUCGCGUCGUCUGUGAAAUUCUGCAACUCAAUUGCAGGCGUGCAGGCGAUACGGGCAGACUUGAGUACUACAGGGGAGACUGGAAUUCCUGGUGUAGCGGUGAAAUGCGCAGAUAUCAGGAGGAACACCGGUGGCGAAGGCGGGUCUCUGGGUAGUAACUGACGCUGAGGAGCGAAAGCGUGGGGAGCGAACAGGAUUAGAUACCCUGGUAGUCCACGCCGUAAACGGUGGGUACUAGGUGUGGGGCUCAUUUCACGAGUUCCGUGCCGUAGCUAACGCAUUAAGUACCCCGCCUGGGGAGUACGGCCGCAAGGCUAAAACUCAAAGGAAUUGACGG